Molecule: ribosomal RNA, 737 nt
Filed under: uncultured fungus
Lineage: Eukaryota; Fungi
Description: SSU rRNA
Rfam family: Eukaryotic small subunit ribosomal RNA
Source: RNAcentral
AGCAUGGAAUAAUGGAUAGGACGUGCGGUUCUAUUUUGUUGGUUUCUAGGAUCGCCGUAAUGAUUAAUAAGGAUAGUUGGGGGCAUUCGUAUUCAAUUGCUAGAGGUGAAAUUCUUGGAUUUAUUGAAGACGAACUACUGCGAAAGCAUUUGCCAAGGAUGUUUUCAUUGAUCAAGAACGAAGGUUAGGGGAUCGAAAACGAUCAGAUACCGUUGUAGUCUUAACAGUAAACGAUGCCGACUAGGGAUCGGACGAGGAUUUUUAAUGACUCGUUCGGCACCUGAAGAGAAAUCUUUAAGUCAUGGUUCGGGGGGGAGUAUGGUCGCAAGGCUGAAACUUAAAGGAAUUGACGGAAGGGCACCACCAUGGUGUGGAGCCUGCGGCUUAAUUUGACUCAACACGGGGAAACUCACCAGGUCCAGACACGACAAGGAUUGACAGAUUGAUAGCUCUUUCUUGAUUUCGUGGUUGGUGGUGCAUGGCCGUUCUUAGUUGGUGGAGUGAUUUGUCUGGUUAAUUCCGAUAACGAACGAGACCUUAACCUGCUAAAUAGCCCGGCCGACUUUGGUUGGUCGCUGGCUUCUUAGAGGGACUAUCGGCGUUUAGCCGAUGGAAGUUUGAGGCAAUAACAGGUCUGUGAUGCCCUUAGAUGUUCUGGGCCGCACGCGCGCUACACUGACCGAACCAGCGAGUUUAUCACCGUGGCCGGANGUCCUGGUAAUCNUNGANCUCGUNGC